Molecule: non-coding RNA, 402 nt
Organism: Paramuricea clavata
Lineage: Eukaryota; Metazoa; Cnidaria; Anthozoa; Malacalcyonacea; Plexauridae
Source: the annotation of a GenBank genome assembly
GUGGAACACUCUGCAAACUACUUAUGUGGCAGUUCAUAAACAUUAAGUUCUAUAUAAAAUUUCUUAAGAAGUCUAGACUUAAAAAUACUAGAGCUGUCAAUUGCUUUGAGAUCACUAUCUAACGAGUUCCACAUUGUCACAGCUCGAGGAAAAUACGAGUUUUUAAAAUAUUCAGUUCUACAUUUAAAUUCAGUGAAAUUAUUCACGUCAUGUGACCUAAUGUUAUAUCUAGGAGCAAGUCGACUUUGUACAUAAUCUGGUAAAUGUAUAUCCAAUAGACCUGUUCUACAUUUAUGAAAGAAUAACAAGUCUUUCAUACUUCUCCUGACAUCAAGUGGUAGAAGGUUAAGUUUUAUCAAACGUUCUUUAUAUCCAGUGUCAGGGUAAUUUAAAAUAAACUUU